Lathyrus oleraceus (garden pea) is the source of this 1921-nucleotide long non-coding RNA. RefSeq lists it as uncharacterized. The transcript has 3 exons. The record is from RefSeq and is a predicted model, not a curated record. Lineage: Eukaryota; Viridiplantae; Streptophyta; Magnoliopsida; Fabales; Fabaceae.
CAGUGCUAAUUAACAAAAAUUAAUUAAAAUAACUUAAGAGUGAUUAAUAGUGGGUUAAGGAGCAGAAAAAUCGCUUAGGCCAUGAAAUUUUGAGCGAAAAGGCCAAUCCUCAAAUUAACCUCGGACUCCAAACCUUGAACUUUCAUCAAGAACAAAGUCUCCCUGUCCUUCAUCCAAACUCAAGUGACGGUAGCGGCCAUGAGAGUGGUUCAGACAGAUUCAACGGCGCAUCCUCAAAUCCGAUUUUCAGAUGGAACGAACUAGGGCAAGAGGCCGAGGAUGCAACACCAAAUCGGAUCCCCUCGGAACUGAAGAAACCUUGUGCACGGACGGUCGAAAAUGAAAGAAGACAAACUUACCGGACAAAUUCGACCCGAUGGCUCCGGAUAAUCCUUCUCCGUUUCCGUUUUAUUUUUUUUCAACCUGCCACUUCUCUCUCACAUCCUCUUCUAUGAAUGUUGCAGAGGCUUCUUCGUGGUUGAUUCGGGAAUUGAGAGGAUGAGCAUCAGUGAGAAUGGCACGUGUAGUUUUGCUUAGUUCUUUGAUUUUUCUUGGAUGGUUGUGGAAGAUUCGUUGAGAAGCUGUGCAGGUAGUUUUUUUGUUGAAUAUUUUUGUUGAAUAUUUUUGUUGUGAUAGAUGGUUCUGUUAUCGGUUGAUGCCAAUUAGAAACGAGGUCCAAGGUUGGUUGCAGAAUGGAGUCGGAAGAGGUUUCGGUUGAGGAGUGACUCUUGCAGGUAUUGUUGAAGGAUUGUUAGCAGGGUUAAGGGAAAGUUGGUUCUUGAGGAGGGUGAUUAAAGGUGGUUUGAAGAUGGAGUUGUUGAAAUGAGGGUGAAGAAGAGGGUGGAGAGUGAUUCGGUUAUGAAGAUUGGAGGAGGAAGUGAAGGGUUCUGUUAUAUCAGUUUGUUGCAGGUCAUUGGAAAAUGGUUUAGAAAGGAUGAAGAUGAAUUCAGUUAGGUUGGUUCUUUGAGAGGGUCAUUGAAUUGAGAGAAGUGAGGUUUUUAUGUGGUUUGUUGGAAGGUUCUGUUGUGCGAAGGGUUCAAAGAGGUUAUGAUUUUGUUACAGGUUUGUUGUGGAUUGUCGUUUGAGUUAGUUAGAGGUGAAGCUCGGUUUUGAAUGAGUUCUGUUACACGUUUUGAAAGUUUGUUAUUCUGUUAUGAUGGUGGUUAGAGGUUUUUGAAGUUCAGUUCACAAAAUUAUUCUAAUGAGGAGGGCCCGUUAUGGAAACUGGUUCAAUUUGUUCCCUCUGUUACACAUUUGUUAACUGUCAGAAUUCGGUUAUAUGGUCGGUUGAGAAGCGGUUAGAGGUUAAUUGGAAGUUGUGUAUUGGAGGAUCUAGGCCGGUUCGGUUAUCAGUUGGAAGUUAGUGAGAAAUCUUGUUUUCUAUUUUCUGUUUUCCGUUUCGGUUAUUUCUGUUAUGAUUAUUAGUUAUAUAGCAGGCUGGUUGAUACGGUUUGAGAAGUUAGUUGUGGAAGGUGGUUAGAGGGAGAUGAAUUCUCUUUUGAGAUUGAAGCAGUUAGGUGGUUAUAAAUACAACUAGCCAACAGUUGGAAGAGGUUUGGUUGGGUUAUUAGUUUCCAGUUAGGAGCUUAACCGUUAACUCCUUCAAUUAGUGGUCUGAAAUCGUUUCUUCAGCAUGAAGGAGAUUGGUUCCAUUGGUUCUAUGAGGUAGAUUAAAUUGACUUCUAUUUGGAAAAAUGCAGGGGAAAUGUAUGAUACAGGUUAAUGUAUGGAUUGCGCUUGGGCUGGUACGACUUGUGAAUCUUGACUUGGACACUGGAUACGCUUUUGAUGCUCGAACUAGCUUAUGCUUUGUAAUUGGCUUAUGUUGUAUUGAUGUAAUGGAAUUAAAACUAGGCAUUAAAAUGCUUGUAAUUUUGUAACCAAACUUUGUGAUUAAUGCAAAUCAAUGUUCUUUUGGUUA